This 301-nucleotide ribosomal RNA is filed under the name uncultured bacterium. Its description in RNAcentral is "partial 16S ribosomal RNA". It matches the Rfam family "Bacterial small subunit ribosomal RNA", at positions 509 to 809 of the family's 1533-position model. The record is from RNAcentral.
CAGUCGCCGCGGUAAUACGUAGGGUGCGAGCGUUAAUCGGAAUUACUGGGCGUAAAGCGUGCGCAGGCGGUUUUGUAAGACAGGCGUGAAAUCCCCGGGCUCAACCUGGGAAUGGCGCUUGUGACUGCAAAGCUAGAGUGCGGCAGAGGGGGAUGGAAUUCCGCGUGUAGCAGUGAAAUGCGUAGAUAUGCGGAGGAACACCGAUGGCGAAGGCAAUCCCCUGGGCCUGCACUGACGCUCAUGCACGAAAGCGUGGGGAGCAAACAGGAUUAGAUACCCGGGUAGUCCCUGUCUCUUAUAA